RNAcentral lists this ribosomal RNA (252 nucleotides) under uncultured bacterium. RNAcentral describes it as "partial 16S ribosomal RNA". It matches the Rfam family "Bacterial small subunit ribosomal RNA", at positions 524 to 775 of the family's 1533-position model. The record is from RNAcentral.
GACGUAGGGGGCCAGCGUUGCUCGGAAUUACUGGGUGUAAAGGGUUCGUAGGCGGUGUGGCAAGUCGGGAGUGAAAUCUCUGGGCUCAACCCAGAGUCUGCUUCCGAAACUGCUGUGCUAGAGUGUGAGAGAGGCGAGUGGAAUUACGGGUGUAGCGGUGAAAUGCGUAGAUAUCCGUAGGAACAUCCGAGGCGAAGGCGGCUCGCUGGAUCACAACUGACGCUGAGGGACGAAAGCUAGGGGAGCAAACAG